RNAcentral lists this ribosomal RNA (776 nucleotides) under Cylindera lacunosa. RNAcentral's name for it is "partial 16S ribosomal RNA". The stretch from base 1 to 559 matches the Rfam family "Bacterial large subunit ribosomal RNA", at positions 1850 to 2925 of the family's 2925-position model. The record is from RNAcentral. Lineage: Eukaryota; Metazoa; Arthropoda; Insecta; Coleoptera; Carabidae.
AGGUCUAACCUGCCCAAUGAGGAUUUAAAUGGCCGCAGUAUUUUGACUGUGCAAAGGUAGCAUAAUUAUUAGUUUUUUAAUUGGAAACUUGUAUGAAGGGUUGGACGAGAUAAAAUCUGUCUCUAUUUAAAUUAAAGUAGAAUUUAACUUUUAAGUCAAAAGGCUUAAAUGUUAGUAAAAGACGAGAAGACCCUAUAGAUCUUUAUUUAACUAAAACUAUAAUAAUUUAGGAUUAUUUUAAUUUAAAGUUUUAAUUAAAUUUUAUUGGGGUAAUAUAAAGAUUAAAUUAAUUCUUUUUAUUUAUUACAUUAAUUUAUGAAUAUAUGAUCCGUUAUUAUCGAUUAUAAGAUUAAGUUACCUUAGGGAUAACAGCGUAAUUUUUUUGGAGAGCUCAUAUCGAUAAAAAAGUUUGCGACCUCGAUGUUGGAUUAAAAAUUAGCUUGGGUGCAGAAGUUCAAGAUUUUGGUCUGUUCGACCAUUAAAUUUUUACAUGAUCUGAGUUCAGACCGGCGUAAGCCAGGUCGGUUUCUAUCUUUAUUUAAUUAAAAUAUUUUAGUACGAAAGGACCAAAUAUUUAAUAUAUCAUAUUUAGUUUUUGGAUAAUAUUAUUACUUUGGCAGAAUAGUGCAAUGAAUUUAGAAUUCAUGAAUGUAAUUUUAUUACAAGUAAUACUUGUAUUUAGGAGAUUUAUUUAUGAUAGUUUUAUGUAUGUUGAUUCUUGUAGUUUGUGUAUUGGUUGGGGUUGCUUUUUUAACUUUAUUGGAACGUAAAGUUUU